Molecule: ribosomal RNA, 261 nt
Filed under: uncultured archaeon
Lineage: Archaea
Description: partial 16S ribosomal RNA
Rfam family: Archaeal small subunit ribosomal RNA
Source: RNAcentral
CAGCCCUAAACGAUGCGCGUUAGGUGUAUCGGUGACCACGAGUCACCGAGGUGCCGAAGGGAAACCGUGAAACGCACCACCUGGGAAGUACGGUCGCAAGGCUGAAACUUAAAGGAAUUGGCGGGGGAGCACCACAACAGGUGGAGCCUGCGGUUUAAUUGGAUUCAACGCCGGACAUCUCACCGGAUAAGACAGCUGAAUGAUUGUCAAUCUGAAGGUUUUACAUGACUAGCUGAGAGGUGGUGCAUGGCGUCAGUGACU